ACCGGGAGAUAGCUGGUUCUCCCCGAAAGCUAUUUAGGUAGCGCCUCGUGAAUUCAUCUCCGGGGGUAGAGCACUGUUUCGGCAAGGGGGUCAUCCCGACUUACCAACCCGAUGCAAACUGCGAAUACCGGAGAAUGUUAUCACGGGAGACACACGGCGGGUGCUAACGUCCGUCGUGAAGAGGGAAACAACCCAGACCGCCAGCUAAGGUCCCAAAGUCAUGGUUAAGUGGGAAACGAUGUGGGAAGGCCCAGACAGCCAGGAUGUUGGCUUAGAAGCAGCCAUCAUUUAAAGAAAGCGUAAUAGCUCACUGGUCGAGUCGGCCUGCGCGGAAGAUGUAACGGGGCUAAACCAUGCACCGAAGCUGCGGCAGCGACACUAUGUGUUGUUGGGUAGGGGAGCGU
This 404-nucleotide ribosomal RNA is filed under the name Escherichia coli. Its description in RNAcentral is "partial 23S ribosomal RNA". It matches the Rfam family "Bacterial large subunit ribosomal RNA", at positions 837 to 1239 of the family's 2925-position model. Lineage: Bacteria; Pseudomonadati; Pseudomonadota; Gammaproteobacteria; Enterobacterales; Enterobacteriaceae. The record is from RNAcentral.